RNAcentral lists this ribosomal RNA (433 nucleotides) under uncultured bacterium. RNAcentral describes it as "bacterial SSU rRNA". It matches the Rfam family "Bacterial small subunit ribosomal RNA", at positions 29 to 507 of the family's 1533-position model. The record is from RNAcentral.
AACGAACGCUGGCGGCAUGCCUAAUACAUGCAAGUCGAACGAACUCUUCGGAGUUAGUGGCGCACGGGUGCGUAACGCGUGGGAAUCUGCCCUUGGGUUCGGAAUAACAGUUAGAAAUGACUGCUAAUACCGGAUGAUGACGUAAGUCCAAAGAUUUAUCGCCCAGGGAUGAGCCCGCGUAAGAUUAGCUUGUUGGUGAGGUAAAGGCUCACCAAGGCUACGAUCUUUAGCUGGUCUGAGAGGAUGAUCAGCCACACUGGGACUGAGACACGGCCCAGACUCCUACGGGAGGCAGCAGUAGGGAAUAUUGGACAAUGGGGGCAACCCUGAUCCAGCAAUGCCGCGUGAGUGAUGAAGGCCUUAGGGUUGUAAAGCUCUUUUACCCGGGAUGAUAAUGACAGUACCGGGAGAAUAAGCUCCGGCUAACUCCGUG